UGGGGAAUCUUCCGCAAUGGACGAAAGUCUGACGGAGCAACGCCGCGUGAGUGAAGACGGCCUUCGGGUUGUAAAGCUCUGUGAUCCGGGACGAAAGAGCCUGAGGUAAAUAGCCUAAGGAAGUGACGGUACCGGAAAGGCAAGCCACGGCUAACUACGUGCCAGCAGCCGCGGUAAUACGUAGGUGGCAAGCGUUGUCCGGAAUUAUUGGGCGUAAAGCGCGCGCAGGCGGCUUCCUAAGUCCAUCUUAAAAGUGCGGGGCUUAACCCCGUGAUGGGAUGGAAACUGGGAAGCUGGAGUAUCGGAGAGGAAAGUGGAAUUCCUAGUGUAGCAGUGAAAUGCGUAGAGAUUAGGAAGAACACCGGUGGCGAAGGCGACUUUCUGGACGAAAACUGACGCUGAGGCGCGAAAGCGUGGGGAGCAAACAGG
This 429-nucleotide ribosomal RNA is filed under the name Fusobacteriota bacterium. Its description in RNAcentral is "Fusobacteria bacterium partial 16S ribosomal RNA". It matches the Rfam family "Bacterial small subunit ribosomal RNA", at positions 355 to 776 of the family's 1533-position model. The record is from RNAcentral. Lineage: Bacteria; Fusobacteriati; Fusobacteriota.